GGGGUUGUGACUCAGUGGUAGAGUGCUUGCCUAGCAUGUGCAAGGCCCCAGGUUUGGUCCUCAGCCCCA
This 69-nucleotide transfer RNA is filed under the name Ictidomys tridecemlineatus (thirteen-lined ground squirrel). RNAcentral's name for it is "Spermophilus tridecemlineatus (thirteen-lined ground squirrel) tRNA". It matches the Rfam family "tRNA". Rfam says of the family: Transfer RNA (tRNA) molecules are approximately 80 nucleotides in length. Their secondary structure includes four short double-helical elements and three loops (D, anti-codon, and T loops). Lineage: Eukaryota; Metazoa; Chordata; Mammalia; Rodentia; Sciuridae. The record is from Rfam by way of RNAcentral.